AGCGAACGCUGGCGGCAGGCUUAACACAUGCAAGUCGAGCGGGCACUUCGGUGUCAGCGGCAGACGGGUGAGUAACACGUGGGAACGUACCCUUUGGUUCGGAAUAACGCUGGGAAACUAGCGCUAAUACCGGAUACGCCCUUUUGGGGAAAGGCUUGCUGCCGAAGGAUCGGCCCGCGUCUGAUUAGCUAGUUGGUGGGGUAAUGGCCUACCAAGGCGACGAUCAGUAGCUGGUCUGAGAGGAUGAUCAGCCACACUGGGACUGAGACACGGCCCAGACUCCUACGGGAGGCGGCAGUGGGGAAUAUUGGACAAUGGGCGCAAGCCUGAUCCAGCCAUGCCGCGUGAGUGAUGAAGGCCUUAGGGUUGUAAAGCUCUUUUGUCCGGGACGAUAAUGACGGUACCGGAAGAAUAAGCCCCGGCUAACUUCGUG
This 433-nucleotide ribosomal RNA is filed under the name uncultured bacterium. RNAcentral's name for it is "partial 16S ribosomal RNA". It matches the Rfam family "Bacterial small subunit ribosomal RNA", at positions 29 to 507 of the family's 1533-position model. The record is from RNAcentral.